ACGAGAAAGAGGGGGCAACUCCUUGAGUAAAGUGGCGUACGGGUGAGUAACACGUGGAUCAUCUACCUUUUAGUGGGGAAUAACCCUGGGAAACCGGGGCUAAUACCGCAUAAGCUCGUGAGAGGAAAGCAGCAAUGCGCUGAAAGAGGAGUCCGCGGCUGAUUAGCUAGUUGGUGAGGUAAUGGCCCACCAAGGCGAAGAUCGGUAGCCGGCCUGAGAGGGCACACGGCCACACUGGCACUGAAACACGGGCCAGACUCCUACGGGAGGCAGCAGUGGGGAAUCUUGCACAAUGGAGGAAACUCUGAUGCAGCGACGCCGCGUGAGCGAUGAAGCCCUUCAGGGUGUAAAGCUCUUUCGACGGGAACGAUAAUGACGGUACCCGAAGAAGAAGCUGCGGCUAACUACGUGCCAGCAGCCGCGGUAAUACGUAGGCAGCGAGCGUUGUUCGGAAUUACUGGGCGUAAAGAGUGCGUAGGCGGUGUUCUAAGUCUGUUGUGAAAUCUCCCGGCUCAACUGGGAGGGUGCGGCGGAAACUGGAAUGCUCGAGUGUGGGAGAGGUAAGCGGAAUUCCUGGUGUAGCGGUGAAAUGCGUAGAUAUCAGGAGGAACACCCGUGGUGUAGACAGCUUACUGGACCACGACUGACGCUGAGGCACGAAAGCGUGGGUAGCAAACAGGAUUAGAUACCCUGGUAGUCCACGCCCUAAACGAUGCAUACUUGGUGUGAGCCAUUCAUUUGGUUCGUG
This 748-nucleotide ribosomal RNA is filed under the name uncultured bacterium. Its description in RNAcentral is "bacterial SSU rRNA". It matches the Rfam family "Bacterial small subunit ribosomal RNA", at positions 66 to 845 of the family's 1533-position model. The record is from RNAcentral.